This 253-nucleotide ribosomal RNA is filed under the name uncultured beta proteobacterium. Its description in RNAcentral is "partial 16S ribosomal RNA". It matches the Rfam family "Bacterial small subunit ribosomal RNA", at positions 524 to 776 of the family's 1533-position model. The record is from RNAcentral. Lineage: Bacteria; Pseudomonadati; Pseudomonadota; Betaproteobacteria.
UACGUAGGGUGCGAGCGUUAAUCGGAAUUACUGGGCGUAAAGCGUGCGCAGGCGGCUUACUAAGACAGGUGUGAAAUCCCCGGGCUUAACCUGGGAAUGGCGCUUGUGACUGGUAGGCUAGAGUACGUCAGAGGGGGGUGGAAUUCCACGUGUAGCAGUGAAAUGCGUAGAGAUGUGGAGGAACACCGAUGGCGAAGGCAGCCCCCUGGGAUGAUACUGACGCUCAGGCACGAAAGCGUGGGGAGCAAACAGG